UCAAGCAGAUCUUCAGCAGAAACGCCAAUGAUCUCUUGUGCAUUUUUAUCAAAGAUCAGAAAAUUGGUGUCACCAGUGCUAUCCAUAACUCCCACGUUUAAAAGGUACCUUCAUAUAAAAAGAUUUUCAUACAAAGUUAGAUAGAUAGUUAUUAACUAACAUAAUAGCUAUAUAAUCAAAUGGGAAAUUGUUACCUUGGAACCACCUUAGGAGUGUCUUCCUUACAUGUUGGACACCAAAACAUUUCUUUCUUACCUUUUUUGGCAAUCUCAUUUUCCACUUUUGGUAUCUUAUAGGCAGUUUUGUGACACUUCAGACAACAAAAGAAAUACCACGAGUAGUCUGUGUCGAUCUUCAUUAUGGUAACAAUUAUGUUGCAUUUCCCAAUCUAUACAUAAUAAUAGAGAAUUAGUAUUUUAAACAUAAUUAUUACUAAUAGAGGCAAUUAGUAUUAAUCACAACUAUUACCUCAGAAAAACAAAAGAGUCCAGAGAUGGUUUUCCUUGGAAAACGAUCAUAGUAUUCCUUUUUUUUCAUCAGUUGAUUCCCAUGUUUUGGCUUAACUUCUUGGAUAGCCAGAGGCAUAGCAUCAGGGGGUAAACUACAUGACAAUUAAAAAAAAAAAUCAACUUAUCAUAAUAUCAAUAGGAUAUACAAUCUAAUUAUUUUCAAAAGCAAUAUUAAGUUUGCCCCUAUCUUACUUGGCCACAAAUUCAAGAACAGCAGGGUAGGUAGCAUUGAUUUCCAACAGAGACAUGUCAAAUGCAUUUGAAACUGAUCUUUCACCUAACAAAAUGAGUACUAUUAGUAUAAAUAUAUUCUGUGAUCUGCCUUUAAAAAUCCCAAAAAUGUUUUAUCAAAAACGUUUUAUACCUUUGAAUGAAUUGAUCUUAGCAAGACGAAGUAAGGCAAUCACCCUCUCAGUGCCUGCAUUUUGACAUGCAUUCCACAUUGCCUCAGCAAAUCUCCCCCAAAGAGUACAUUUCAGCCGUUCAUCACUAUAUAAGAAAAUAAGUUGUGAGAUAAUUGUAAGUACAAAUAACAUAAGAUAUAUUAUAAUAGGGUAAAGCCAUAUGAAAUUACUUUGUGUCUCUGAGUUCAAGAUCAAGUUUCUUUGUGAUUUUGUUGUUAACAUCAUGAGUUUUCAUCUCAUUGAAACUAACAACCUGUCCAAGUACAUCUACAAAAUUAAGAAAUUAAUAUUUGGUUUUUGAUGAAUAUCUAUUAUUAAAAUAUGCAAAGAAUAAUAACUAAAAAUAAAAAGAAAAAUAUAUUACCAAUUAAGAUGUUUUCAUUCAAUCCUCCUUCAUCCAAAACAUCUUGAAAGUUUGCCAGAUCCAAAUAAAUGUCAUUAGAAAGAGGAGGAGUUCGAGUUAUUACAGUUUUUUGCAUCAUGGACAUUUUGAAACCAUGUUUAGUUGCACGGUAUUUUCCUGUUGACUUGGCUAGUGUAAAUUUCUCGAUAAUACGCCACUCCCCAGAGGUAAUGAACCUUUGCAGUUUGUUCAAUUGUUGCUUCUUAAUGGUAGCAUGGAUCAAAGUACCCUGAAUAUUGAAAAAUAAGUCAUGUUAAACAUACAAAACUAUGGUGUAUAUAUGAUACACGAUUAUUUGUAUAUAAGAAUGAUAUAGUUACUUACAGAGGUAUCAGCAAGAAUCAUUUCGACGGUUUCUCCAGUGUAUUGAGUGUAUUGAGUCCAAGAAUGGACAAUUUUAACUUGAAUUCUCCAUUCUGUUUUGAAAGGUUUGACAUCAGCAAGGGUGGUGAAUGCUAGCUCAGCUGCCAUUUUCUUAGUGGGAUUGUGUAGAGAAAGAGUGAAAGCUUGAGAAGGUGAGUUUAACAUAACAUUGGAUCAUAUAUUUAUACUAAUCGAAAUACGGCUAUAAUUUUCUAGGUUUUAGAGAAUUAUCGGGGAAGAGGAUAAAUGCGAAUAGAAUAUUUUAGGUAUAUAAUUGAUAUUAUGCUAUUUUUUGGGUAUGAUUUAGAACAAAUAUGGAUUUGAAAAGAUUUUAUGAUUUUAAAUAUAAAAAAAAAGGAAGUUAAUUGUUUUCGUUUAUAUGGAAAGAUUUUUUCAGCACAAGGAAAUUAUUUAAUUGCAUUUUAAUUGAUAGCAUCCCGGAGAUUUUGUGAUGAUUUAGAAAUUAUAUGGAGUUGUUUGGAUUUGGAAAAUUUUUGUAUCUUUGAUUAUGCAAAAUUUAAGUUGUGAUUGAUAUGGAAAUAGAUUUGAUUACGUGUUAUAAUAUUAGAAUAAGUUUAUCCUUAAUCGGGUUGAUUACGUGAUUACGGAAUAUUUUUGAAUAGGGUUGUUAUAUAGAAUAAAUGAUUUUCCGAAUUUUAAGUUGUGCUUGAUAUAAAAAUAGAUUUAUUUACGUGUUAUCUAACUAAUUUUCUGUUUAAUGUUUGUAGAUAUGUUACAUAAGGCCUGAUAUUAACAAUGGGCCAAUUAACAUAAAGCCCAGUUGUGUUUUACCGCAGAUGUAUCAGCGAUCCGUCUCAUUUACCAGAUAGAUAUCCGAUUCAAUCUCCAAGAUCCGCGUCCUUUUGAGUCCCAAUUGUCAAUUAUACCCCUCGACGAAAUUCUGUGUUUUCACUUGAAAUACUAAAAUUCUAAUGGCAUCUAUUGUAAUUAUUUACCCUUAGUGAGGUUAGAUAUUAUGUAAUCCUUCCCAAUUAAUAGAAUAGAU
This 2685-nucleotide long non-coding RNA is filed under the name Arabidopsis lyrata. Its description in RNAcentral is "long non-coding RNA (ALYR_LNC001894)". Lineage: Eukaryota; Viridiplantae; Streptophyta; Magnoliopsida; Brassicales; Brassicaceae. The record is from RNAcentral.